GGCGAACGGGUGAGUAACACGUGAGUAACCUGCCCCUGACUCUGGGAUAAGCCUGGGAAACUGGGUCUAAUACCGGAUAUGACUGCGGAACGCAUGUUCUGUGGUGGAAAGAUUUAUCGGUUGGGGAUGGACUCGCGGCCUAUCAGCUUGUUGGUGAGGUAAUGGCUCACCAAGGCGACGACGGGUAGCCGGCCUGAGAGGGUGACCGGCCACACUGGGACUGAGACACGGCCCAGACUCCUACGGGAGGCAGCAGUGGGGAAUAUUGCACAAUGGGCGAAAGCCUGAUGCAGCGACGCCGCGUGAGGGAUGACGGCCUUCGGGUUGUAAACCUCUUUCAGUAGGGAAGAAGCGAGAGUGACGGUACCUGCAGAAGAAGCGCCGGCUAACUACGUGCCAGCAGCCGCGGUAAUACGUAGGGCGCAAGCGUUAUCCGGAUUUAUUGGGCGUAAAGAGCUCGUAGGCGGUUUGUCGCGUCUGCCGUGAAAGUCCGAGGCUCAACCUCGGAUCUGCGGUGGGUACGGGCAGACUAGAGUGAUGUAGGGGAGACUGGAAUUCCUGGUGUAGCGGUGAAAUGCGCAGAUAUCAGGAGGAACACCGAUGGCGAAGGCAGGUCUCUGGGCAUUUACUGACGCUGAGGAGCGAAAGCAUGGGGAGCGAACAGGAUUAGAUACCCUGGUAGUCCAUGCCGUAAACGUUGGGCACUAGGUGUGGGGGACAUUCCACGUUUUCCGCGCCGUAGCUAACGCAUUAAGUGCCCCGCCUGGGGAGUACGGCCGCAAGGCUAAAACUCAAAGGAAUUGACGGGGGCCCGCACAAGCGGCGGAGCAUGCGGAUUAAUUCGAUGCAACGCGAAGAACCUUACCAAGGCUUGACAUGUUCCAGACCGGGCUAGAGAUAGUCCUUCCCUUCGGGGCUGGUUCACAGGUGGUGCAUGGUUGUCGUCAGCUCGUGUCGUGAGAUGUUGGGUUAAGUCCCGCAACGAGCGCAACCCUCGUUCCAUGUUGCCAGCACGUAGUGGUGGGGACUCAUGGGAGACUGCCGGGGUCAACUCGGAGGAAGGUGGGGAGGACGUCAAAUCAUCAUGCCCCCUAUGUCUUGGGGUUCACGCAUGCUACAAUGGCCGGUACAAUGGGUUGCGAUACUGUGAGGUGGAGCUAAUCCCUAAAAACCGGUCUCAGUUCGGAUUGGGGUGUGCAACUCGACCCCAUGAAGUCGGAGUCGCUAGUAAUCGCAGAUCAGCAACGCUGCGGUGAAUACGUUCCCGGGCCUUGUACACCCCGCCCGUCAAGUCACGAAAGUUGGUAACACCCCGCCC
This 1318-nucleotide ribosomal RNA is filed under the name Arthrobacter sp. C9I5. Its description in RNAcentral is "bacterial SSU rRNA". It matches the Rfam family "Bacterial small subunit ribosomal RNA", at positions 97 to 1427 of the family's 1533-position model. The record is from RNAcentral. Lineage: Bacteria; Bacillati; Actinomycetota; Actinomycetes; Micrococcales; Micrococcaceae.